UGGGGAAUAUUGCACAAUGGGCGCAAGCCUGAUGCAGCCAUGCCGCGUGUGUGAAGAAGGCCUUAGGGUUGUAAAGCACUUUCAGCGAGGAGGAAGGGUGCAGUGUUAAUAGCACUGUGCAUUGACGUUACUCGCAGAAGAAGCACCGGCUAACUCCGUG
This 160-nucleotide ribosomal RNA is filed under the name uncultured Gammaproteobacteria bacterium. Its description in RNAcentral is "partial 16S ribosomal RNA". It matches the Rfam family "Bacterial small subunit ribosomal RNA", at positions 355 to 507 of the family's 1533-position model. Lineage: Bacteria; Pseudomonadati; Pseudomonadota; Gammaproteobacteria. The record is from RNAcentral.